RNAcentral lists this ribosomal RNA (484 nucleotides) under uncultured bacterium. RNAcentral describes it as "bacterial SSU rRNA". It matches the Rfam family "Bacterial small subunit ribosomal RNA", at positions 30 to 507 of the family's 1533-position model. The record is from RNAcentral.
AUUGAACGCUGGCGGCAUGCUUUACACAUGCAAGUCGAACGGUAACAGGGAGCUUGCUCCGCUGACGAGUGGCGAACGGGUGAGUAAUGCAUCGGAACAUGCCCAGUCAUGGGGGAUAACUACGCGAAAGCGUAGCUAAUACCGCAUACGCCCUGAGGGGGAAAGUGGGGGGUCUUGGGACCUCACGUGAUUGGAGUGGCCGAUGUCAGAUUAGCUAGUUGGUGAGGUAAAGGCUCACCAAGGCGACGAUCUGUAGCGGGUCUGAGAGGAUGAUCCGCCACACUGGGACUGAGACACGGCCCAGACUCCUACGGGAGGCAGCAGUGGGGAAUUUUGGACAAUGGGCGCAAGCCUGAUCCAGCCAUGCCGCGUGAGUGAAGAAGGCCUUCGGGUUGUAAAGCUCUUUCGCAAGGGAAGAAAACGGCAAGGUUAAUACCUUUGUCGGCUGACGGUACCUUGACAAGAAGCACCGGCUAACUACGUG